AGAAAACCCAUCGCCGACAAUACCCUUCUCACAUAUCCACCACCGACCCACCAAGUAGCCUUGCCACCAUCGGCACAACACUCGCUGGCAUUAGGUGUCCCUGCUCACGCAACUCCGGUCGUUGGACGUCGCCCAAAACUGAAAAUCCGAAUGGGUCAAGUGAUGAACUGAAACACGACCCACGAGUUUUUUCGGCAUAAGCACCCUCUCGAACACUCUCUAGCCAUCGAUCUAGACAUCUCAUUUGUGGCAACUAACGUCCGGCACCCCUGGUAGAAAUUGUAUGAGGCAU
RNAcentral lists this unclassified non-coding RNA (292 nucleotides) under Hevea brasiliensis (rubber tree). The record is from RNAcentral. Lineage: Eukaryota; Viridiplantae; Streptophyta; Magnoliopsida; Malpighiales; Euphorbiaceae.